GUAGGGUCCGAGCGUUAAUCGGGAAUUACUGGGGCGUAAAGCGUGCGCAGGCGGUUGUGCAAGACCGAUGUGAAAUCCCCCGGGGCUUAACCUGGGGAGUUGCAUUGGUGACUGCACGGCUAGAGUGUGUCAGAGGGGGGUAGAAUUCCACGUGUAGCAGUGAAAUGCGUAGAGAUGUGGAGGAAUACCGAUGGCGAAGGCAGCCCCCUGGGAUAACACUGACGCUCAUGCACGAAAGCGUGGGGAGCAAACAGGAUUAGAUACCCUGGUAGUCCACGCCCUAAACGAUGUCAACUAGUUGUUGGGGAUUCAUUUCCUUAGUAACGUAGCUAACGCGUGAAGUUGACCGCCUGGGGAGUACGGUCGCAAAGAUUAA
Molecule: ribosomal RNA, 376 nt
Filed under: uncultured organism
Description: partial 16S ribosomal RNA
Rfam family: Bacterial small subunit ribosomal RNA
Source: RNAcentral